UCCUUCGACCCAUUGGUGACAGGAAAGGUC
This 30-nucleotide non-coding RNA is filed under the name Homo sapiens (human). The record is from RNAcentral. Lineage: Eukaryota; Metazoa; Chordata; Mammalia; Primates; Hominidae.